RNAcentral lists this ribosomal RNA (494 nucleotides) under uncultured bacterium. RNAcentral describes it as "partial 16S ribosomal RNA". It matches the Rfam family "Bacterial small subunit ribosomal RNA", at positions 29 to 523 of the family's 1533-position model. The record is from RNAcentral.
AUUGAACGCUGGCGGCAGGCCUAACACAUGCAAGUCGAGCGGAAGGGGCUUCGGCCCCGAGUGCGGCGGACGGGUGAGGUUAGCGUGGGAAUCUGCCUGUAGAUGGGGGAUAGCCCGGAGAAAUCCGGAUUAAUACCGCAUAAUACCUGAGGGUUAAAGUGGAGGAUCGCAAGACUUCACGUCUACAGAUGAGCCCACGUCAGAUUAGCUAGUUGGUAGGGUAAAGGCCUACAAAGGCGACGAUCUGUAGCUGGCCUGAGAGGGUGGCCAGCCACAAUGGAACUGAGACACGGUCCAGACUACUACGGGAGGCAGCAGUGGGGAAUAUUGGACAAUGGGCGAAAGCCUGAGCCAGCCAGGCCGCGUGGGUGAAGAAGGCCUUCGGGUUGUAAAGCACUGUAAGUUGGGAGGAAGGUUCCAAGGCUAAUACCUUUGGGAAUUGACGCUACCGACAGAAUAAGCACCGGCUAAUUCCGUGCCAGCCGCCGCAGUAA